This 72-nucleotide transfer RNA is filed under the name Camelus bactrianus (Bactrian camel). It matches the Rfam family "tRNA". Rfam says of the family: Transfer RNA (tRNA) molecules are approximately 80 nucleotides in length. Their secondary structure includes four short double-helical elements and three loops (D, anti-codon, and T loops). The record is from Rfam by way of RNAcentral. Lineage: Eukaryota; Metazoa; Chordata; Mammalia; Artiodactyla; Camelidae. RNAcentral also lists the same sequence under 1 other name.
GUGUGUAUAGUUCAGUGGUAGAGCACUUGCCUAGCAUGCAGUAGGUCCUGGGUUCAAGCCCUAGUAUCUCUA